UUGUCUCCAGUAAUAUAGCAGUAGGAAUGAUCUUAUCUCAGACCAUAGUUAAAUAGUUGGAUUUUUUUUCUUCCUUGACAUCAGAUUUUCUUUAAUUACCAGAUGCACAUUGUGAUACACAGAUUUGACUCUCAAGCACCUAUGGCCAACUCCUUGGUACUCUCCAAAAAGGUCCCUUAGACAAUGACUGAUUUGGAGUUGAAAUAUUUUUUCAGUAAUAUUAGAUAGAAAGUUGUUUUCUGUAUUCACAGAGUGGCCACAGCAUGUGCAUUGGCACCAUCUGCCUCUUGAGUAUCUCCCAGGUCAUCACCAUCAGCCCCCAAAACCUCAGGUGAACGUAGCUUAAACUACAUGCUUCCAAAUAUAUUUGAAUCUCUAAUAUCCAAAUUAUGUGCUGAAUUCUGAAUAGGCUUGUAAAUGUCAUUUUUUCCUGUGUAUGUUACUGGUAAGUGGAACACCAUAAAGAACACAAAGAUUAUUUUAAACACUGUUCUGGAGUAGUUAAUAACAGAAUUCCACAUUUAUGACAUGUCAUGUUUUUAUCAUUUUUUAGUGUUUUGUGUUUGGAAAUUAUAACCUGGGCCAACAGCUCCAUGACCUUUAUUCUGUUCAACACAAGUGGUGGGUCCAACAUAUUCAUAGGUCCAACACCACUCCUAAAUUCUCACAUGAGUCCAGAGUCACCCAAAGCAUCUUUGUCCUAAAGGAGCACCUUUGUAUCAUUUUACACUCUCUCCUACAUCUUUUCAGUAUAUAUGGUUAUUUUGUAUAAUUCAAAUUGUUGGCUUAUGAACAACUCUAAACUGAUUACCGCUUGUUUUUUUCUAUAGUCAGGCCCAUUGUUCUCCUAAGCCAUGACCCCAGGAUAAACAGUAUAACCUCUUCAUGCUGUGGAAGGAAUAUACAGUUUCCUAAGAUAAUCAGAUAG
Molecule: long non-coding RNA, 928 nt
Filed under: Homo sapiens (human)
Lineage: Eukaryota; Metazoa; Chordata; Mammalia; Primates; Hominidae
Description: non-protein coding lnc-ZNF730-16:1
Source: RNAcentral